This 229-nucleotide long non-coding RNA is filed under the name Elaeis guineensis (African oil palm). RNAcentral's name for it is "long non-coding RNA (EGUI_LNC029568)". Lineage: Eukaryota; Viridiplantae; Streptophyta; Magnoliopsida; Arecales; Arecaceae. The record is from RNAcentral.
AGGCUCUUCAGGGGUUCAGGGGGGUCUCCAAGAGAGAGAGAGCUUUUGUGAGGGGAACUUCAUGUGAGAGAGAAUUGGAUGUACAAGGGUUGAGGGUGAGGUCUCCUCUUGUAAAAUUUUUUUUUUCAUAGUAAAGUUUGCAUGCCCCGUGGAGGCGAGCCCUUUUGUGGCUGAUCCACGUAUUUUGAUUGUUUUUUCUUCUGUUUUGUUUCUUCUUUCUUCCUGUUGC